This 152-nucleotide microRNA precursor is filed under the name Paramuricea clavata. Lineage: Eukaryota; Metazoa; Cnidaria; Anthozoa; Malacalcyonacea; Plexauridae. The record is from RNAcentral.
UAUCAGACUUGUCACAAGGUUGUUCUAACAAGUCUGAUACAGUCAUCAUAAACAAGAAUGUUACAAGGUUGCGGACGACACAAGGUUGUAACAAUACUGCUGUAUCAUGACUGUAUCGGACUUGUUGAAACAACCUUGUAACAAGCCUGAUA